RNAcentral lists this ribosomal RNA (253 nucleotides) under uncultured bacterium. RNAcentral's name for it is "partial 16S ribosomal RNA". It matches the Rfam family "Bacterial small subunit ribosomal RNA", at positions 524 to 776 of the family's 1533-position model. The record is from RNAcentral.
UACGUAGGGACCAAGCGUUGUUCGGAUUUACUGGGCGUAAAGCGUGCGCAGGCGGUUUUGUAAGCCAGAUGUGAAAGCCCCGGGCUUAACCUGGGAAUGGCAUUUGGGACUGCAAGGCUCGAGUGCGGCAGAGGAGACUGGAAUUCCUGGUGUAGCAGUGAAAUGCGUAGAUAUCAGGAGGAACACCGAUGGCGAAGGCAGGUCUCUGGGCUGACACUGACGCUCAUGCACGAAAGCGUGGGGAGCAAACAGG